CAGUAGCCGCGGUAAUACGUAGGUGGCGAGCGUUGUCCGGAUUUAUUGGGCGUAAAGGGAGUGUAGGCGGUCUUUUAAGUCUGAUGUGAAAGCCCACGGCUCAACCGUGGUGGGUCGUUGGAAACUGGGAGACUUGAGUGCAGAAGAGGAGAGCGGAAUUCCAUGUGUAGCGGUGAAAUGCGUAGAUAUAUGGAGGAACACCAGUGGCGAAGGCGGCUCUCUGGUCUGUAACUGACGCUGAGGCUCGAAAGCGUGGGGAGCAAACAGGAUUAGAGACCCGCGUAGUCCCUGUCUCUUAUAC
This 301-nucleotide ribosomal RNA is filed under the name uncultured bacterium. Its description in RNAcentral is "partial 16S ribosomal RNA". It matches the Rfam family "Bacterial small subunit ribosomal RNA", at positions 509 to 807 of the family's 1533-position model. The record is from RNAcentral.